GGGGAGAUAUAAACAAGAAGAAUCAGGACUGAAUAAACUGCUGUUAGAAGGACUGGUGGUCGUUCUUGCUGGUCGAGAGCAGGCGCGACAAUUGGUGGCCCAUACGGGGAACCGACUCCCCCACCGAGUUCAGAACUUUCAGCAGUCAGUGGUUGCCGGCAGGGUAAGUUCACGGUGAGUGAAACUUGCGACCCCAGGAGUUUGGGAAGGACCUCAGAUAAAAUAGAGGUGAGCAUAAAGUUGCCUGGAAGCAGGCACAAAGUAACAUAGGUUCCCGGUUUUGGGAUAAGUUAAGGUUCCCGGUUUCGGGACAGAUUAAGGAACUAUGAUAACCUCAGUGUAGUGAUCAAUAGAUCCUCGCUGUGUAGUUAUGCUUUUUUCUCCCAUUGACCCUUUGUGGGUAGGUCUGAUAGUUUUGGUCUUGUUUGUUCUGAUAUAUGGACUCUGUUACUGUUUGAAUCGAGAGGCAGUCAAGACAGGUCAGAAAAUCCUUAUAGAGCAACAAGAGAGUAUGUCGGAGGAAGAGAAGGGCUUAAAAAGAAAAAAGAAAAAGAAAGGAGAUCCGGAUUUAAAUUCAGUGAGGAGUCUGACCCCUGAGGCUAGACAAGCCCUAUCCACUGUAGAAAAGGAACUGAGUAAAGCGCAAUUAAUGAGAUGUAAGGAAGGAAUGCCCAUCAAACUUUUGAUACUGCAAACAGAAAUGCAGCCCACUGGUUUAGUUUGGCAGGAUGGACCUUUGCUCUGGAUUCAUCCAAGAAUAUCCAUGGGUAAGACUGUGGAACAUUAUCCAACUGCAGUAGCAAAUUUGGCGUUGGUAGGAGUUCAACAAUGUUUGCAGCAUUUUGGAUGUCAACCAAGUAUACUGGUUACUCCCUAUGAUAGUCAUCAGCAAAAGGUUUUGGUAGCCACAGUGGAUGAAUGGGCCAUUCUGUUUUGCAGCUUUAAUGGCAUAAUAGAUAAUCAUUAUCCAAAACAUCCAUUGGUUACCUUUUAUAAAGCUUAUGCUAUUGUGUUUCCUAAGAUAGUGCAGGAAAGGCCCAUUUCAGGAGCGGUGAAUGUGUUUACAGAUGGGUCCAAAACUGGAUGUGGAGCCUAUCUUAUUGAAUCUCAACAACCAGUUCUUAGGUAAUAUCAACCCGGAGCACCCCAACUGGUAGAGUUACAACUUGUAUUAGAAGUAUUUAAAAAUUGUCCUUUUUCUUUCAAUUUAAUUUCGGAUUCUCAGUAUGUGGUUAAUAUGGUUAAAGGAUUAGAAGUUGCAGGACAAAUUCGAUCGCAUAGUCCUAUAUUUGAAUUGGCCUCUACAUUGCAGCAGCUCAUUUGGCAGCGCUCCACUCCAGUGUAUAUUAAUCAUAUUCGCGCCCAUACAGGGCUCCCAGGACCUUUGAGCAGAGGGAAUGAUGUUGUGGAUGCCUGCAUGCGAAUGCAAUUUGUGUUUCUAUCCACCACCUUAGAAUUGGCCAAAGCCUUUCAUGAUAAGUUUCAUGUUAAUUCUAGUACCUUGCAGAAAAGGUUUCAUAUCUCUAGGGCUGAAGCACGAGACAUAGUUGUCUCCUGUGGGCAUUGUGCUGUGUUCCAACAUCCUCCUUCUUUUGGAGUGAAUCCUCGAGGCCUAUUGCCCCUUCAGGUGUGGCAAAUGGACGUUACUCAUGUUCCUGAGUUUGGAAAGCUUAAAUAUGUCCAUGUCUCAGUGGAUACCUGCUCAGGUAUCGUACAUGCCACACCUAUGUCAGGGGAAAAAGCAAUUUAUGCUAUCCAGCAUUGUCUCGAUGCCUGGGCUGCCUGGGGUAAACCCCAACAGCUUAAAACAGAUAAUGGAUCUGCUUAUACUGCAAAGACCUUUAUGUCCUUUUGUCAACAAAUGGAAGUGCAAGUGAAGCAUGGCUUGCCCUAUAAUCCUCAAGGGCAGGGAAUUAUUGAAAGAACCCAUAGAACCAUCAAAGAGAUGUUAUACAAACAAAAGGAGGGAAUAGGCUAUAGCCGCACCCCUAAGAUGAGACUUUCUUUAGUUCUUUAUACUUUAAAUUUUGUAAAUUUGAAUAAAGAUGGCCAUGCAGCAGCAGAUAGACAUGUUCAAAGAGUACCUGGCCUACAAGGAUAUGCCAGAUGGAAAGAUGUGCUUACAGGCAUAUGGAAAGGACCAGAUCCGGUGUUGAUGUGGGCGAGAGGGUCUGUUUGUGUGUUUCCACAGGACCAGACAGAACCUCUUUGGGUGCCGGAGAGAUUGGUGAGACGCUGCAAGAAUGAGGCUCCUGAUCCAGUUGCCCCUGUGGAUGUGGUGGAUGAUCCCACAAGCACAAAGGAUGGAGCCGAGAUGAGAGAUCCUUUCGGUAUUCCAGAAGCCGAUACCAGCUCGACAUGACAUUCAAAUUUUUCACGCUUUUUGAUCCCUGAACUCCCCUUAAAGAGAUAGCCCCUAUGGCCAUCUAUCCCUUGCUUCAGGGAAGAUGAGUGGGGAUGAGAGCCCUGGGAUGUAUGCUUGUUAUAGUGUGUGUGUGUUGUAUGUUUGGCACAUGUGUUAGGUGCAGGGUGUGCGGGCCCACACUUUCGCCAUGGUAGCGUAGGCUUUUGCUGCAGUGGAGGCAGGACAAUCUCCUCAGAUUCGGUUUGCCGCUCUAAAAGAAAUUAUGCUGUGUUAUGCCGUGGGGUGCGAGGCUAAGCACUGCACAGUUGCUGUUGGCAUCCUGUGGAAGGCACGUCUGAUUGCAUGAAGGUUCAGUGUUCUAGUUCCCUUCCCCCAGGAAAAACGACACGAGAGCUGGCCAAGACCUCUCUGGGUGAUGAGCCUAAGGGAUGGUUUUGUGUAGGGCCCCUAUGCUUGCACACUGGGGAUCAGACCUCUACCUUCACCCAUGAGGCUUGCUUGCAGCAAUUAAGAUCUGGCCAUAGGUUAAUUAACAUCCUGGCCUUUUGAUGCACCUGCCGCAAGCAAAACACAAUCUCCCCAGGAGUGGCUUGGCAUGAUUGAGAGGUAGUCAGUGAUAAGACUCCCUGGGCAUGUCACCAACCUAAGACAGGGAUCAAACCAAUGCUGUUUGUCUCCCAAAGACAGGUAAGGGGCAUGGUUGCGAGGGGCUAUCUACAGACAUUCUCUCUGCCAAAAAAGAAAAAAGGGGGAAUUGUGGGGAGCGGGUGUGGCAGCAGUCCCAAAGGCGCCAGGGACUGCAGCUAAGUCAUAUGACUUGCACCUGACUUCCUCAUAUAAGACACAAACAUCUUGAGUGCUGCGCAGGUGUACCAGGAUACAGGUGAAUCCAAUUUGGUGGAGAUUUGCCCCUGCUGCCCUGAUUAGCUGAAGCCUCGUGACUGGCGAGGGGGCGUGGCCUGCGGUGCGUGGAUGAGAGAGAGUAUAAAAGGAGUGAGAGGCCCAGGGUUCGGGGGAGAUAUAAACAAGAAGAAUCAGGACUGAAUAAACUGCUGUUAGAAGG
Molecule: long non-coding RNA, 3428 nt
Filed under: Mus musculus (house mouse)
Lineage: Eukaryota; Metazoa; Chordata; Mammalia; Rodentia; Muridae
Description: long non-coding RNA chr7:29926977-29930405
Source: RNAcentral